Acanthosepion pharaonis is the source of this 113-nucleotide non-coding RNA. Lineage: Eukaryota; Metazoa; Mollusca; Cephalopoda; Sepiida; Sepiidae. The record is from the annotation of a GenBank genome assembly.
UUACGGCCAUGUUAGGUUGAAACACUGGCUCUUGUACGAUCACCGAAGUUAAGCAACGUUGAGCCUUGUCAGUACGUAGAUGUGUGACAUAAUGGGAAUACCAGUUGCUGUAA